UACAGAGGCCUCGAGCGUUGUUCGGAAUUACUGGGCGUAAAGGGAAUGUAGGUGGUGACGUAAGUCAGAUGUGAAAGCCCUGGGCUUAACCCGGGAAGUGCAUUUGAUACUGCGUUGCUGGAGUACGAGAGAGGAAAGCGGAGUUCCCAGUGUAGGAGUGAAAUCCGUAGAUAUUGGGAGGAAUACCGAUGGCGAAGGCAGCUUUCUGGCUCGUAACUGACACUGAGAUUCGAAAGCGUGGGUAGCAAACAGG
Molecule: ribosomal RNA, 253 nt
Filed under: uncultured bacterium
Lineage: Bacteria
Description: partial 16S ribosomal RNA
Rfam family: Bacterial small subunit ribosomal RNA
Source: RNAcentral